Molecule: long non-coding RNA, 1015 nt
Organism: Astatotilapia calliptera (eastern happy)
Lineage: Eukaryota; Metazoa; Chordata; Actinopteri; Cichliformes; Cichlidae
Source: Ensembl
CUUUAAAGCAUCUUGUUUUAAACUGCCCUUAAUGAAUGAAGGUGUUGGCAAGAGUUGCAGCUGAUUCGCGCAAGACGAGAAGCUCUGUUUGUUUUAUUAUCCAUCUUCUACCUGUCCAUAAGAAAAGAAAUUUGCACAUUUCCACCCAGAAUUUACUGUUUGUAUACAUUUCACAGUCACAGAAUUCUAUACAAAACUCCUAUAAUUGAUCUGAGAUAGUUUUUAAAUAUAUUAACAUUUAAUUAGUAGCAUAAGUUUAACAGAUUUCAUACCAUAAAGUCAUUUUCAGACCUGCUAUCACAUGUUGUCAGUUAUUGAGAUCUGUGAAAAUGAAAAAAAAUAAAUGAACAAUUAAAGUCGUUGCGCCAGAAAGUUUGGUGCUCACAAUAGAUUUCACGGUCUACCUUUCCUGCUCUGCUGCGUUUGCUACGUCGUUACAAUGAGCGAGCAUAAACCGAUAAACCAGAACUCAAACAGUUCACUGUACACGACUUUCUCAACGAGACAGAAUGCAAACAAACGUCAACAAUCUUGAUCCAAAUACAGCACUUGUCAAAACUUCUACAACAUAAAACAUUACAUUAAGCCUGACACCAUUUGGACAGAAAUCAUUGAUGUAUGCACCCAAAAAGGCACAAACAUCGAUGAACGUAGGUCUGAUGAAAAAGACACUGCAUAAAAUUAAAAAAACAAAAACAAAAGAAAACUCAAAAAACCAGCAACAAAAAAGUGCUCCCACUCAUGGCGUGUGUUAAAACAUUUAAAUAUCUUUCAGUAGCAGUUUGCGGGCUACUGAAAAUAUGUCUUAAACCAUGACUAAAUCAACACAAAAACUGAAAAUAAAUACACAAAGAAAUUGAGAAACAGGGGCAGACGAGAUGAGCGAGGCGCUGUGGUUUCUGUCGGUUUGAUCGUCUGAGAGAUUAAGAGCACGAUGGCCUCAGUACACAGAGCUGCUGCUGCUGUUGUUCAUUUCCAUGUAAAGAAACUCUGUGGUGGAGAUCAGUGAGACUGU